RNAcentral lists this long non-coding RNA (322 nucleotides) under Gallus gallus (chicken). RNAcentral's name for it is "long non-coding RNA NONGGAT007969". Lineage: Eukaryota; Metazoa; Chordata; Aves; Galliformes; Phasianidae. The record is from RNAcentral.
CACGUGGAAACGAACCCUUUUGUCCUUAAUUACAGCAAGCGCGUUGGGACAGGCCACUCAGGAUGCAGUCAGCCAGAUUACAGAUGCCGGCCAGAAAGCUGUGGAUAAGGCUUGUAAGACAGCACAGGAUGGUGCAGAAAAAGCAGCCGGGCAAGCUGCAGAAGCACUGUCUGGCUUUGGGAAAAAAUGUGGAUUUAAGAAAUGAUGUCGAUGUAAGCAAACAGUACUGCAUGUAUAGCCCACCUUUGCGAUUCCCUACUCCUCUGUGUAGAAAGCGAAAGCUAUCUGAGACCUGGAUAACUACUCUCCCCCCACAUACAAA